GCGUUAUUUAUUUGGGAGAGACCAGAAGGCGAUGACAUUUCCUUCAUUCGACCAAUGAGAUGAUGAAUCUUUUCGCUCUGGAGGUGCAGCAGCCCCACAGGUGCCCAGCGCACGCCAUAAUCCCACCACACAAGCACUCUCCUAUCUAACAGCAGAGGAAUGUUUUGUGCCUCUGGUGCUUUAUCAACAAAAUGCCCUACUGUAGCUGCUUGGCCUUUGGAGAUUAUUUUCUCAGGGAAGCUGUCAUCAUGCAGCUGAUUAAUUACUCUAAUAAUCAUAAUUUUUUUUCUAAUAAAACACCCUCUCUUCCCAUUCAUUAACUACAUUGCAGGUAGGUGACAGAGGUAAUUAUUCUCUGGAAGUACUUCUGAAUUAUCUUUUCUAAUCCAGCCCGUGCUGACAUUUUUGAGAGUAAAAAACAUUUUGUCUUUCUUUCAUGAGUGGGGUGACAUUUGAAUAUGCAAACAGUGUCAAAGCCUGCCCUCCGGAUGUUUUCCUGAACUAUGAUUUAUGAGGGCUGGCUAUUGUAUUUUCUAUCGUAGACCUAGAAAGGUCAUUAGACAAAGAGGCUUCCCCUGCAGGGGUCUUUUGCCAUCUUCAUCUUCUGAUAUUUUAAUUUUUUUUUUUCCUUGAACGUCGGGCAGAUGCGCUGUGAGCUCUCCCGUACGCCUCUGCUGUUUAUUAUUUAUUUACGCACGUCCCAUGCAACGCUGCAGGCGCCGAGAUCCACGCACAUCCCUUCAGACCCAGCGACCGAACGGCCCCGGUGCAGCCCACCUUGAGCCUGGGGGGCUCUGUGCCUGCGUGCUGCGGGAGCGCGUGGAGCUCGGCGGUAACUGAGUUGGGUUGGAGCCACCCAUCUGCUCAGGGCCGUAGUCCUCACCGCGGCAGGAGCGUAUCGCUCUGCAGACCCAAGGAACACGCGCCCCGCCGUGCCAUCACCACCAUCUCAGCCUCGGGGCAAAAGCAAAAGUUGAGAACUCAUUUCAGCUCGGGAAAUAUUUCUGCAUCUGGAGAAUUGAGCCGAGACACGCGAUAACAGACAACUGCUACCAGCAGCGUGACCUCCUUAGCAGCUCAUUUUGCACUCCUGGGGUAAUGUAGGAUGGCUGGUGUCCCCCUGACAGUUUGAGCAUGAAUUGCCAUUAUUAGUUUUGCAAUUUGUACGUAUUUCGUCGGCAUCCGACUUCAUCGCGCUGACUUUCUGCCUGCAAUCCCAUUUUGCCAGUUCUACCUGGUUUAAUCGAGGCUGUUCCCACGUGCUUCCCUUGCUGAGGCUGCCACGCAGCCCCUGGCUUGUGAUCCUGAAUUCCA
Molecule: long non-coding RNA, 1314 nt
Filed under: Numida meleagris (helmeted guineafowl)
Lineage: Eukaryota; Metazoa; Chordata; Aves; Galliformes; Numididae
Description: lncRNA (ENSNMEG00000012606.1)
Source: RNAcentral